CACUCCUACGGGAGGCAGCAGUGGGGAAUUUUGGACAAUGGGCGAAAGCCUGAUCCAGCAAUGCCGCGUGAGUGAAGAAGGCCUUCGGGUUGUAAAGCUCUUUUGUCAGGGAAGAAACGGUGAAAGCUAAUAUCUUUUGCUAAUGACGGUACCUGAAGAAUAAGCACCGGCUAACUACGUGCCAGCAGCCGCGGUAAUACGUAGGGUGCAAGCGUUAAUCGGAAUUACUGGGCGUAAAGCGUGCGCAGGCGGUUUUGUAAGUCUGAUGUGAAAUCCCCGGGCUCAACCUGGGAAUUGCAUUGGAGACUGCAAGGCUAGAAUCUGGCAGAGGGGGGUAGAAUUCCACGUGUAGCAGUGAAAUGCGUAGAUAUGUGGAGGAACACCGAUGGCGAAGGCAGCCCCCUGGGUCAAGAUUGACGCUCAUGCACGAAAGCGUGGGGAGCAAACAGGAUUAGAUACCCGGGUAGUCCCAU
RNAcentral lists this ribosomal RNA (473 nucleotides) under uncultured organism. RNAcentral's name for it is "partial 16S ribosomal RNA". It matches the Rfam family "Bacterial small subunit ribosomal RNA", at positions 334 to 798 of the family's 1533-position model. The record is from RNAcentral.